UACGUAGGGCGCAAGCGUUGUCCGGAAUUAUUGGGCGUAAAGAGCUCGUAGGCGGUUUGUCGCGUCUGCUGUGAAAACUCGAGGCUCAACCUCGGGCUUGCAGUGGAUACGGGCAGACUAGAGUGCGGUAGGGGUGACUGGAAUUCCUGGUGUAGCGGUGGAAUGCGCAGAUAUCAGGAGGAACACCGAUGGCGAAGGCAGGUCACUGGGCCGCAACUGACGCUGAGGAGCGAAAGCAUGGGGAGCGAACAGG
RNAcentral lists this ribosomal RNA (253 nucleotides) under uncultured bacterium. RNAcentral's name for it is "partial 16S ribosomal RNA". It matches the Rfam family "Bacterial small subunit ribosomal RNA", at positions 524 to 776 of the family's 1533-position model. The record is from RNAcentral.